This 468-nucleotide ribosomal RNA is filed under the name uncultured bacterium. RNAcentral describes it as "partial 16S ribosomal RNA". It matches the Rfam family "Bacterial small subunit ribosomal RNA", at positions 28 to 507 of the family's 1533-position model. The record is from RNAcentral.
GACGAACGCUGGCGGCGUGCUUAACACAUGCAAGUCGAACGGAAAGGCCCUGCUUUUGUGGGGUGCUCGAGUGGCGAACGGGUGAGUAACACGUGAGUAACCUGCGCUUGACUUUGGGAUAACUUCAGGAAACUGGGGCUAAUACCGGAUAGGAGCUCCUGCUGCAUGGUGGGGGUUGGAAAGUUUCGGCGGUUGGGGAUGGACUCGCGGCUUAUCAGCUUGUUGGUGGGGUAGUGGCUUACCAAGGCUUUGACGGGUAGCCGGCCUGAGAGGGUGACCGGCCACAUUGGGACUGAGAUACGGCCCAGACUCCUACGGGAGGCAGCAGUGGGGAAUAUUGCACAAUGGGCGGAAGCCUGAUACAGCAACGCCGCGUGCGGGAUGACGGCCUUCGGGUUGUAAACCGCUUUCGCCUGUGACGAAGCGUGAGUGACGGUAAUGGGUAAAGAAGCACCGGCUAACUACGUG